UAGGGAAUCUUCCGCAAUGGGCGAAAGCCUGACGGAGCAACGCCGCGUGAGUGAUGAAGGUCUUCGGAUCGUAAAACUCUGUUAUUAGGGAAGAACAAAUGUGUAAGUAACUAUGCACGUCUUGACGGUACCUAAUCAGAAAGCCACGGCUAACUACGUGCCAGCAGCCGCGGUAAUACGUAGGUGGCAAGCGUUACCCGGAAUUAUUGGGCGUAAAGCGCGCGUAGGCGGUUUUUUAAGUCUGCUGUGAAAGCCCACGGCUCAACCGUGGAAGGUCAAUGGAAACUGGAAAACUUGAGUGCAGAAGAGGAAAGUGGAAUUCCAUGUGUAGCGGUGAAAUGCGCAGAGAUAUGGAGGAACACCAGUGGCGAAGGCGACUUUCUGGUCUGUAACUGACGCUGAUGUGCGAAAGCGUGGGGAUCAAACAGG
RNAcentral lists this ribosomal RNA (429 nucleotides) under Actinomycetes bacterium. RNAcentral describes it as "Actinobacteria bacterium partial 16S ribosomal RNA". It matches the Rfam family "Bacterial small subunit ribosomal RNA", at positions 355 to 776 of the family's 1533-position model. Lineage: Bacteria; Bacillati; Actinomycetota; Actinomycetes. The record is from RNAcentral.